This 125-nucleotide long non-coding RNA is filed under the name Sus scrofa (pig). RNAcentral's name for it is "lncRNA (multiple genes)". Lineage: Eukaryota; Metazoa; Chordata; Mammalia; Artiodactyla; Suidae. The record is from RNAcentral.
CAAGCCAUCAAGUUCCCAUGAUGUUCCCUGUUAAAGCAUCUGCUAGAAGGAUGAGACUGUUUGCAGGGAAUUUUUUGCUUUCUAAGGCACCACAGGUGAAAUCCCUCUUAGCAGCUGGCUUAUGA